RNAcentral lists this ribosomal RNA (500 nucleotides) under uncultured bacterium. Its description in RNAcentral is "bacterial SSU rRNA". It matches the Rfam family "Bacterial small subunit ribosomal RNA", at positions 899 to 1397 of the family's 1533-position model. The record is from RNAcentral.
ACUCAAAGGAAUAGACGGGGACCCGCACAAGCAGCGGAGCAUGUGGUUUAAUUCGAAGCUACGCGAAAAACCUUACCAAGGCUUGACAUCCCACGCAUAGCCCGGAAACGGGUGAAAGUAUAGCAAUAUAUCGUGGUGACAGAUGGUGCAUGGUUGUCGUCAGCUCGUGUCGUGAGAUGUUCGGUUAAGUCCGAUAACGAGCGCAACCCUUGUCUUCGGUUGCCAGCAUUAAGUUGGGCACUCCGGAGAGACUGCCGUGGUUAACACGGAGGAAGGUGGGGAUGACGUCAAAUCAUCAUGCCUCUUACGUCUUGGGCUACACACGUGCUACAAUGGCCGCUACAAAGAGCUGCGAACCGGUAACGGGGAGCCAAUCUCAAAAAAGCGGUCUCAAUUCGGAUUGAGGGCUGCAACCCGCCCUCAUGAAGUCGGAGUUGCUAGUAAUGGUGGAUCAGCAUGCCACCGUGAAUGCGUUCCCGGGUCUUGCACACACCGCCCGU